GAUCACGGGCACCUCCACAUUCCAGCGUCCAAUGUAUCCACCGCUGUACAGAAGCGGACUCUUCCUGCCAGGAAGACCCUGGCCCAUGGCUGAGAACCGUGAGCCUCGUAGAUGGGCUGUGGAUGCCCGACCGCCCUCUCGGCCCACACAAGCCUUGUCCUCAGCAGUGUGAGGUCAAGGGCAGACCAAGCUGCAGCGGGCAGCGGCCACACUCGGAAGGCACCAGACGGAUACAGCCCUCCUCCACCCACAGCACGCUCCAGCGGUGGAGGUGUGCCACCGGCCUGGGCCCCGGAAGACGGCGUCCAGCCUGAGGACGCUGCCCAGAAGCCCACCCAAGCCACCAGGAGCCUCUGGCCUCUGCAGGCCACGGCUCAAUCGGCAUGGGUGACUGGUGCGUGGAGGGCUGUGAGUCAUGCCCAGGCCUCUGGCCCUGGUGCUGCCUGGUGGGGAGCCACGAGCACGGUCCACGCAGGCGAUAGGUCUCGCUCCGAGAACCAGUCCCGUGUUGUCUGCUGCUGCACUGAAUCACCGAAACUGGCUUAUAGCAAGGUGCUCCGGGCUGCGCCCCCACCGGCCGGCAUGGGGCGUGGGCAGGCUGCCCCCCUCAGUCUCUCUGCUCAUAAGCAUCCCUUCACACACCCCAAAUCGUAGGCUUGGGCCCUCCCAAAGACUCCUGGUAGUCUUUCUCAUACCCUAGCUGUACAACUUCCUUCUCUUCCAGGCCUAGGACACCAGACCCUGCCAUGCAAUCCAGGAUGGCAACUUCAUCCAUGAGCUGGCUGAACGCUCCUCUGCCCCCCCGCCCCCUGCACGGGUCCUGGCGUCCGGGGAGCAUUGCUCUGCCUGGCUCAGGCUGUGGAAGGCUCAGGAGGUGCUCCGGGUGCACAGCAUCGUGCCAGGUGGCUGGCACUGAGCCAGCACCCUUGGCAGGCAGAGGGCAAAAAAGUAUUGGAGGAGAGCACACUGCACAAGACAGAACGUGCAGGUGGUCCUAGAGUUGGAGGAAAAUAACCCCAGCUGACAUCUGGAGACUCGUCAGAAGCUGGGCUGGACUGGAGCAGCUGCAGGCCCGGCGUGAGGCGUGAGCAUUCCCUCCAACGGGACUGAGAUGUCUGGAUUAGAGUAUGGAUGGGAGACCCAGAAAUGCACCAACGCAAACUGUCCUGAGACUAGGCCUCACCAGCUUUGACCAUGAUCCUCAGAUUAAAGGAGUCUUUUAGCACAAGACCUUUUUUAUUCCCAAUUGAAGCAACAAGAUCAACAGAAAUAGUUGCUUUUGGGGGUCCAGUCAUGGGGCCUAAACUCUG
Dipodomys spectabilis (banner-tailed kangaroo rat) is the source of this 1310-nucleotide long non-coding RNA. RefSeq lists it as uncharacterized. The record is from RefSeq and is a predicted model, not a curated record. NCBI's taxonomy places the organism in Eukaryota, Metazoa, Chordata, Mammalia, Rodentia, Heteromyidae. The transcript has 3 exons.